This 331-nucleotide ribosomal RNA is filed under the name uncultured bacterium. RNAcentral describes it as "bacterial SSU rRNA". It matches the Rfam family "Bacterial small subunit ribosomal RNA", at positions 568 to 898 of the family's 1533-position model. The record is from RNAcentral.
CGCGUAGGCGGAUGUUUAAGUCAGAGGUGAAGCCCAGGGCUCAACCCUUGGAACUGCCUUUGAUACUGGACAUCUUGAGUACGGGAGAGGUGAGUGGAACUCCGAGUGUAGAGGUGAAAUACGUAGAUAUUCGGAAGAACACCAGUGGCGAAGGCGACUCACUGGCCCGUUACUGACGCUGAGGCGCGAAAGCGUGGGGAGCAAACAGGAUUAGAUACCCUGGUAGUCCACGCUGUAAACGAUGAGUGCUAGUUGUCGGCACUGCAUGCAUGUCGGUGACGCAGCUAACGCAUUAAGCACUCCGACCUGGGGAUACGGUCGCAAGAUUAAA